GGCGGGGUAGCUCAGUGGUUAGAGCAGCGGCUUCAUAAGCCGCGUGUCGCGGGUUCGACCCCCGCCCCCGCUA
RNAcentral lists this transfer RNA (73 nucleotides) under Planctomycetaceae bacterium SCGC AG-212-F19. It matches the Rfam family "tRNA". From Rfam's summary of the family: Transfer RNA (tRNA) molecules are approximately 80 nucleotides in length. Their secondary structure includes four short double-helical elements and three loops (D, anti-codon, and T loops). Further hydrogen bonds mediate the characteristic L-shaped molecular structure. tRNAs have two regions of fundamental functional importance: the anti-codon, which is responsible for specific mRNA codon recognition, and the 3' end, to which the tRNAs corresponding amino acid is attached (by aminoacyl-tRNA synthetases). tRNAs cope with the degeneracy of the genetic code in two manners: having more than one tRNA (with a specific anti-codon) for a particular amino acid; and 'wobble' base-pairing, i.e. permitting non-standard base-pairing at the 3rd anti-codon position. The record is from Rfam by way of RNAcentral. RNAcentral also lists the same sequence under 1 other name. Lineage: Bacteria; Pseudomonadati; Planctomycetota; Planctomycetia; Planctomycetales; Planctomycetaceae.